UGCAACGACAAGACAAUCCUGAAGGACUACAAGGAGCUGCCGGGCGAAGGAAGUAAAGUGACUUUGGCCAACGAUGACUCUAUAUCGGCUGAAGGCGUCGGGGAACUGCCAGUGGGAGGCGUCAUCGAUAAACUUAAUAAGGAAACUUCUGGUGCGAAGUGUGAGACCUGUCUGCUUGGGAAGCAAGUUGCCUUGCCGUAUCCCGUGGGCGAGGCUACACGUGCACACGUACCUUUGCAACUAGUGCAUAGCGAUGUAGCAGGUCCGUUUCAAGAAGACAGCAUUGGAGGUGCGAGGUUCAUGGUUACCAUGACUGAUGACUACACCAGGAAGUCACACAUCUUCCUCAUGCGUCAUAAAUCCGAGAUUCGGAGGAAUUCUGUACCGGAAGCGAGAAUGAGGAGCCAGGCUGCUCUACUUCGGGCUCAGGUGACUCGUCGAGCGAGUCUGUAGUGCUGUCGCCGCGACCGUCACAUUCAGGGGAAGCCCUGCCCCCAGCUGAUGCGCCGGCUGUACAUUCCUCGCGUCCCGUACGUACUACAAGGUCACAAAAACCCAAAAGGUAUGCUGAUUACACGUCAGACUACUCCAUGGUAGCGCACGAUGCUGCGUCUGUCCACAGCCUAGACAUACCCUUAUCGUAUAAGGAUGCUGUCACUGGUCCCCUUAGUGCAGAAUGGUCUGCCGCAAUGAAAUGUGAGUUUGACUCUCUUAUAGCUAAUAAAGUUUGGAGAUUAGUUGAUAGGCCACAUAAUACGAACGUAAUAAAGUCUAAAUGGGUAUAUAAAAUCAAAACAGAUGCAUCAGGUAACUUUGAUAAAUUUAAAGCGCGUCUUGUUGCCAUGGGUUAUACACAAGUCCCUGGUGUGGACUAUAAAGACACAUUUUCACCAGUUGUAAGACAUAGUACAAUGAGAAUAUUGUUUGCUUUAGCUUGUGAGUAUGAUUUAAGCAUAGAUCACAUUGAUGUGACCACAGCUUUUCUCAAUGGAGACCUUGAGGAAACCAUUUAUAUGGAGCUUCCACCAGGUUUUAAUAAUAACCAUAAAAAUAAAGUUUGUUUGUUACAAAAAGGGAUCUAUGGUCUUAAACAAGCUAGUAGAAUUUGGAAUAACAAAGUAAAUAAAUUACUGUGUGAAAAUGGGUUUGUUCAAAGUAAACAUGAACCUUGUAUCUAUAUAAGUAAAGAUAAAAAUAGUUUAGUAGUAGUAGCGCUUUAUGUAGACGACUUUUACAUUUUCUCGAAUAACGAAUCCUGUAAAAAUAAUCUUUUUAAUUUACUACAGAGUGAAUUUCAUUGUAAGAAUUUAGGAAAUUUAAAAAGUUGUCUGGGCAUCAAUGUUGUAAGGGAGGGAAAUGUAUUAAAGUUAGAUCAAAGCGACUAUAUUAUGAAAGUACUCAAGCGGUUUAAUAUGGAAAAUUGUAAACCUGUCUCUACACCUAUGUCUGUAGGUUGUAAAUUUGAAUCUGAAGGAGAAAAUUUAUGUGAUGAAACUUAUAAUUACAGAGAACUUAUUGGUUCCUUGAUGUACUUAGCUGUUUGUACCAGGCCAGACAUAGCAUAUGCUUGUAGCCAUUUAAGUCAGUAUAAUUCAAAGUUUAAUAAAAGUCAUUGGCUUGCAGCAAAACGGAUUUUAAGGUAUUUAGCGGGGACAAUUAACUAUUCCUUAUAUUUCAUAAAGAGUAGAGAAUUGAAUUUA
Molecule: long non-coding RNA, 1700 nt
Organism: Cydia fagiglandana
Lineage: Eukaryota; Metazoa; Arthropoda; Insecta; Lepidoptera; Tortricidae
Exons: 3
Source: RefSeq, a predicted model, not a curated record